RNAcentral lists this ribosomal RNA (433 nucleotides) under uncultured bacterium. RNAcentral's name for it is "partial 16S ribosomal RNA". It matches the Rfam family "Bacterial small subunit ribosomal RNA", at positions 29 to 507 of the family's 1533-position model. The record is from RNAcentral.
AACGAACGCUGGCGGCAGGCCUAACACAUGCAAGUCGAGCGAGGACUUCGGUUCUAGCGGCGGACGGGUGAGUAACGCGUGGGAAUGUGCCCUUCUCUACGGAAUAGCCCUGGGAAACUGGGAGUAAUACCGUAUACGCCCUAUUGGGGAAAGAUUUAUCGGAGAAGGAUCAGCCCGCGUUGGAUUAGGUAGUUGGUGGGGUAAUGGCCUACCAAGCCGACGAUCCAUAGCUGGUUUGAGAGGAUGAUCAGCCACACUGGGACUGAGACACGGCCCAGACUCCUACGGGAGGCAGCAGUGGGGAAUCUUAGACAAUGGGGGCAACGCUGAUCUAGCCAUGCCGCGUGAGUGAUGAAGGCCUUAGGGUUGUAAAGCUCUUUCAGCUGGGAAGAUAAUGACGGUACCAGAAGAAGAAGCCCCGGCUAACUCCGUG